RNAcentral lists this ribosomal RNA (442 nucleotides) under uncultured bacterium. RNAcentral's name for it is "partial 16S ribosomal RNA". It matches the Rfam family "Bacterial small subunit ribosomal RNA", at positions 338 to 795 of the family's 1533-position model. The record is from RNAcentral.
CCUACGGGAGGCAGCAGUAGGGAAUCUUUCACAAUGGGCGAGAGCCUGAUGGAGCAACGCCGCGUGCAGGAUGACGGCCUUCGGGUUGUAAACUGCUUUUAUAAUGGAAAUAUAGGAUAGUAACUAAUGAGUUAGGAUCGUCUAACUACGUGCCAGCAGACGCGGGCAUACGUAGGAUACGAGCAUUAUCCGGAGUGACUGGGUGUAAAGAGUUGCGUAGGUGGCAUAAUAAGUAGCUGGUGAAAUCUGGGGGCUCAAACAUUCAGAAUAUUAGCUAAACUGUUAAGCUCGAGACCGUUAGGGGUAACUGGAAUUUCUGGUGUAGGAGUGAAAUCCGUAGAUAUUAGAAGGAACACCAAUAGCGUAGGCAGGUUGCUGGGACGGUUCUGACACUAAGGCACGAAAGCAUAGAGAGCAAACGGGAUUAGAUACCCGGGUAGUC